This 397-nucleotide ribosomal RNA is filed under the name uncultured bacterium. RNAcentral describes it as "partial 16S ribosomal RNA". It matches the Rfam family "Bacterial small subunit ribosomal RNA", at positions 523 to 918 of the family's 1533-position model. The record is from RNAcentral.
AUACGUAGGGGGCGAGCGUUGUCCGGAAUGAUUGGGCGUAAAGGGCGCGUAGGCGGCGCGGUAAGUCUGGAGUGAAAGUCCUGCUUUCAAGGUGGGAAUUGCUUUGGAUACUGCCGCGCUUGAGUGCAGGAGAGGUUAUCGGAAUUCCCGGUGUAGCGGUGAAAUGCGUAGAGAUCGGGAGGAACACCAGUGGCGAAGGCGGGUAACUGGACUGCAACUGACGCUGAGGCGCGAAAGUGUGGGGAGCAAACAGGAUUAGAUACCCUGGUAGUCCACACCGUAAACGAUGAAUGCUAGGUGUAAGAGGUAUCGACCCCUUUUGUGCCGGAGUCAACACAAUAAGCAUUCCGCCUGGGGAGUACGGCCGCAAGGUUGAAACUCAAAGGAAUUGACGGGG